Molecule: ribosomal RNA, 451 nt
Filed under: uncultured bacterium
Lineage: Bacteria
Description: bacterial SSU rRNA
Rfam family: Bacterial small subunit ribosomal RNA
Source: RNAcentral
GUGGGGAAUAUUGGGCAAUGGGCGCAAGCCUGACCCAGCGACGCCGCGUGGGUGAUGAAGGCCUUCGGGUCGUAAAACCCUGUCAUGCGGGAAGAAAGGCUCGGGCUCUAACAUAGCUCGGGCUUGACGGUACCGCAGGAGGAAGCCCCGGCCAACUCCGUGCCAGCAGCCGCGGUAAUACGGAGGGGGCGAGCGUUAUUCGGAAUUAUUGGGCGUAAAGGGCAGGUAGGCGGCCUCGUGUGUCCCUUGUGAAAUCCCUCGGCUCAACCGAGGAACUGCAGGGGAAACUACGGGGCUUGAGUCCGGGAGAGGAGAGCGGAAUUCCCAGUGUAGCGGUGAAAUGCGUAGAUACUGGGAGGAACACCGGUGGCGAAGGCGGCUCUCUGGACCGGUACUGACGCUGAGCUGCGAAAGCUAGGGGAGCAAACGGGAUUAGAUACCCCUGUAGUCC